RNAcentral lists this ribosomal RNA (433 nucleotides) under uncultured bacterium. RNAcentral describes it as "partial 16S ribosomal RNA". It matches the Rfam family "Bacterial small subunit ribosomal RNA", at positions 29 to 507 of the family's 1533-position model. The record is from RNAcentral.
AACGAACGCUGGCGGCAUGCCUAACACAUGCAAGUCGAACGAGACCUUCGGGUCUAGUGGCGCACGGGUGCGUAACGCGGGGGAACCUGCCCUUAGGUUCGGAAUAACUCCCCGAAAGGGGUGCUAAUACCGGAUAAUGUCCUCGGACCAAAGAUUUAUCGCCUUUGGAUGGGCCCGCGUUGGUUUAGCUAGUUGGUAGGGUAAAAGCCUACCAAGGCGACGAUCCAUAGCUGGUCUGAGAGGAUGAUCAGCCACACUGGGACUGAGACACGGCCCAGACUCCUACGGGAGGCAGCAGUGGGGAAUAUUGGACAAUGGGCGAAAGCCUGAUCCAGCAAUGCCGCGUGAGUGAUGAAGGCCUUAGGGUUGUAAAGCUCUUUUACCCGGGAUGAUAAUGACAGUACCGGGAGAAUAAGCUCCGGCUAACUCCGUG